RNAcentral lists this unclassified non-coding RNA (301 nucleotides) under uncultured fungus. RNAcentral's name for it is "sequence contains ITS1". The stretch from base 1 to 105 matches the Rfam family "5.8S ribosomal RNA", at positions 50 to 154 of the family's 154-position model. Lineage: Eukaryota; Fungi. The record is from RNAcentral.
GAAAUGCGAUACUUGGUGUGAAUUGCAGAAUUCCGUAAAUCAUCAAAUCUUUAAACGCACAUUGCGCCCUUCGGUAUUCCGUAGAGCAUGCCUAUUUGAGCGUUAUUAUUACUCUUAAGCUCUACUUAGUGUUAAGCGUCUAUCCCGCCUUAGUAUGCGGAUUCGCCCUAAAGCUAUUAGCAGCGGUCGUGCUAGCUUCUAGCGCAGCACAUUUGCGCUUCCUAAAGCUAUAGUAGAUUAGCAUCUAGUAAGCCCUCUAUAGUUUAACCUUAGAUUAGGUAGAGAUACCCGCUAAACUUAA